This is a long non-coding RNA of Capra hircus (goat), 5161 nucleotides long. The record is from Ensembl. NCBI's taxonomy places the organism in Eukaryota, Metazoa, Chordata, Mammalia, Artiodactyla, Bovidae.
AUUACCCUCACCGCAGUCCCUGCCGUGCCACAGACAUGCCCUGCUCAAGGACAUCCUUGGGACUGCAUCUGCUUCUGACAUCCCCCUUCACCCUGCUGGGUAACUCUGAGGCUUACAAACAGGAACAAAGCCAGAGGCCAGGGCUGCCAGGAUUCACCUGUAUUCUGCAACUCCAAGACAUUCACACACAAAACUAGACACAGUUUGGAAGAGCUGCCCUCAGGAAGACAUAACAAUGUCAGAGCAAAGGGUGAGCUGAAAAGACACAGCCUUCAGUGAUCCCGGGUCAGAUAAAGGGAGGAGGAAGAGGUAGGAAAUUGUGGCAGAUGAAAAUGUGCAUUUCUACUGGAAUGUUGUCCUGAGAGUUGUGAGUGUGUGGAAGAGAGAUUCCCUGAGGAUCUAUUAUGUGGAAUCCUUGUGGGAAUCGUGUGGAGCCGGGACCAGUGCAAUAGCGUUUGAUGGUAUGUGACUGAGAGUGAACUCUACCAAGAGACUGUCACUUUGCGGGAGCGGGGGGGCCGGGGGGGUGGAGCACUGACUGGGAUGAGGGAGUGAGUGCAUGAGUGCAAGGGGCUGAUAUUAUAGAUCUGUCUUCAUGAGUCUGUGUGUAAGAGGGGAGCACAGCGGUGCAUGUACGGUGAGUGAGAAUGUGGGAGGUAUGUGUGGCAUGGGGGGCUGCAUGUCUGUGUGACUAUGUGUGUGAGUGUGUGUGUAAGAAAUCUGUGACUGGGUGUCGAUCUGUGAGUAUGUGAGUGGCUUUGUGUGCACGUGUGGGUUUGUCCGACACAGCAGUGACUGUUUAAGUGCCCGUGGGUCUUUCCAUGUGUGUCAGAGGGGAUCCUGAACUGGUGGCCCUGCCAACUGUGAGUUACCUGGAACUCAUCUCUGAGCAUUAACGAGAGCAGAGCGAGGGGCUCCUUAGAUGCCUCUUUUCAAGAAGAGUGAGAGAAUGUGGCCUCAGGCCAGGCUGGAGGGCACCGCGUCUCCAGUCUGGGUCUACACGCAGGGCCGCUCACUCCACCUCGGGUCUCCUCCCCAAGCCAGGCCUUUCCUCUGCCUCACAGGAGGAGGUCCUGUACACACGGGAUGUGUCCUUGACUGUUGGAUCUCCAUUGACAAUCAAAGGGAAACCUGCAGUCUCUUUCAGGAAUCCAAAGUGCAGGUGGAUUCCCACACUGGGCCUGAUGAGAACUCAGACAGCCCCUUUCAUUUUGGAGUGCCCUGUGGCCAAGCUGUGAAGAUAAACAGCCAUCAAGACGGGAGCUCAAACUGUGAGGUGGAAUCCUCCAAAAGCCCUGUGAGGACGGCCAGCCGCCUGUCCUGCACGGCCUGUGCUGCCAAAUGAGGACAGGUAAGUGUGCCGGGACCACCCCUCCCACGGCCUCCACAGGCUCUCCUAGAGGAACACUGCUGUCCCCCAGCCCCGCCCGAGGUGCCCGGCACCCACCUCCCGUCAUCGCCCCUGCCCCGUUCAUCACAGAGCACCCUCUGCUGCUACCGCCAUCCUCAGGUAUUCUCCCAGAUCUAACCGGGCUAAGAUCAGUUUACGUGCCCUUUUGCUCCAGACGCAGAAUUGGCUCUGACUUCACCCACAGGUAUCAUUUCUACCCAUGCCGUUAUUAUUUGAAUUUUGGGGUCACUCAGUAGUUAAAAUAUGCAUAUGAGUAAUUAUAAUCCAUCCAAUACAACUCUUUCUCUCUCAUUAAAGGCCUCUGAGUUUGUUCACUAUGUCUGAUCAGUUUUCUCCCAAUGUGGAUAGCUAGGCAAAAAAAUAUAGAAACAAAAAGGAGGCCUAGCACCACAGCACAUGAUGGACCGACCACCCUGGCACCAAGGGGCAAACAUUUGGACAUAGCAAAAGAUCUGUAAUCAAAACAGGAAACGUCAGAAGAAAUGUUCACAUAUUGAGGUAUGCGGAAGUCAUUCUGGCUUCUACACUGUACAUCUGCUUUAAACCAUUAAGGAAAAAAUACAUUUAGAAAUCAAAACAAAGCUGGAUAGCCCUUGUGGACAUGGUUGCAGACAAAUGCCUGUUAUUACUGUGAACUUGAGUUUUCUGAAGUGUAUCAGGAUCAAGGAUACCGCCAUCAAUUCUCAAAACAAUAUCUGCCAGCAGCUGCCCAACUAUAGCAUUAGAGUCUCAAGGUAAAAAUAACAUCUUUCUCUUACUUAAGAAGAGUAGUAACAGGACUUCCCUGGUGGCUCAGUGGGAAUCCGCCUGCCAAUGUAAGGGACUCGGAUUCGAUUCCUGGUCCUGGAAGAUUCUACAUGCCAUGGGGCAACUAAGCCCGGGUGCCACACUACUGAGCCUGCCCUCUGCAGCCAAGCUCUGCAACGAGAGAGCAGCCCUCGCUCACUGCAACUAGAGAGAGCCCAAGAGCCACAGUGAAGGCCCAGCACAGCCAAAAAUACAUAAAAUAAACAAAAACAGUAGUAACAAAAGAUAGAGCUUAAGCUAUAGCCUCUCAGAAUAAACCACUAGAUUUUGUAUCAUGAAUAGUGCUAGACAAUUGCUUUAGAUUAGAUUUUAGCAGGAAAAGAACAUGUAUGUGCAGUAGUCGUACGUGUUUUAUAUCUUAAUGGCCAGAUUACAAAGUUAGACCUACUUAGAUAAAAUUAGACAGCUGCCUAUCAGGCUUAAAACAAGUCUCCCCAGAAGUGCCCAGGCCAGCCUGUUCUUCAGGAUUCUUCUCCUUCUUUCCUCAGGGAAUGAGAUCUGCUUCCCGAAACUUAUUAAAUUUCCAGUCGUCCCUCUUCCACUUACUCAUAAUUGGGUCUGUGGACCAAGGGACUAAAAACCUUAAACCAUGAAAGACUGCGAUCCAGUACUUGGAACACGGAAGAUCCCAAAGCAGGGUCAAUUCCUCAGACUGAGGUAGGAUGAUGAUCUGUUUCAGCAAGAAUUAGCUAACGCAAGUGUUGUCUUGUUUCCUCAAAGAUUCAGGGGAAGUUAAAACAGGAGCAGGGAUUGAAACCAAAUUCCUCUAAAACCAAGUCUCCUUACCAAGUUUCUGAUUAUUCUCUCUAUUCAAAACUUCUUGUCCCCUUGGACCGCAAUGCUGUGCUAACUGACCUGGCACGACCAAGUAAGUAAUUAAAAACAAAACAAAACAAAACAAAAACAAAGAAAGAGGGACUUCCCUAGAGAUCCAGUGGUUAACACUCUGAGCUUCCAUUGCAGGGAGAAUGGGUUCAAUCCUUGAUCAGGAAACUAAGGUUCCACAUGCCAUAUGGCAUGACAAAAUAUAAAUAUAAAUAAAUAAAUAAAUAAAUAUAUAUACAUAUAUAUAUAUUUUUUUUUUUUUUUUAAGAAAAAGGAAAGGAAACUCUUCCUGAGGAAAAGGGAAAGUUUCGAGGAGCUGGUAUAAACAAAAAGUCCAUUGGAGGAAACUGAGAGUUUAAAGUACAGUGUAUUUUCAUUGGCUGAGCUGUUUCCAGGCAGAGAGAAAAUCUUUCUUCUUCCUGCUGGGGGUCGUAAAGUAAGGUCACUUUUGCCAGAGAGCUGAGGUACAUCUCUUCCUGCUGGGAUCUGUGAUGACAGCCAGUGGCACGUGGGUAAGCGCUCCCUCUUCUGGCUUCCCAACUUCAUUUUAGUGAGGUUUUCCCUUGAUUAAUUCUCACAAGAAAAAAUCAUAGAAAGAAUGCCUAUGUACCUACUUCCCACUUUAACUAUGAAUAUUCUUGUUUCAUUAUUCCUCCCACUUAUGGGGGGGGAUUUUAAAAUAAAUCUCAGUCAUACUAAAUUUUUCAUAUAAAUACUCCAGAAUUUCUCUCUAACUGAUAAAGACUUUGAAAACAUAAUCACAGCUACCACUACAAUGUUCCAGAAAACUCCCUGGAUAUCAUCUGAUGCACAGAUUACAUCUGAAUUCUCCAACAGAAUCUGAAGUGUACUUUUUCAAUCUAGGGAAGAUAUCUUUCAAAGGCAAUGGGGAAACCUUGACUUUUUCAGAAAAGGUCAUCAGUAACAAACCCCUUCUAGAGAAAUGUUACAGUACAUCCUUCAGGCAGAAGGAAAAGGAUACCAGUUGGAAAUCUGGAGUUACACAAAAGAAUGAAGAACAAUGGAAAUGGGUGUUACAUUGGAAAAUAUAAUUGUGAAAGAGAAAUUAUAACAAUGCAUUGCAGAGCUUAUAACAUAUAAAAAUAAAGUGACAGGCUGAGAUAGCACUGGGAAGUUGCUGUAUAACACAGGGAACUCAGCUCGGAGCUCUGUGAUGACCUAGAGGGACGGGGUGCACAGGGGGAGAGGCUCAGAAGGGAGGGAGGGGCUUCUGUGUAUACUUGGGACUGAUUCACGUUGUUGCACAGCAGAAACCAACACAACACUGUGAAGCAAUUAUCCUCCAACUACAAAGAAAAAACAAAAAUAAAACACAUGGGAAUGAGCAUAUGUUAGAGGAGAGGAAUGACAAUAUGCUAUUAUACUGCUUAUAAGGUGGUAUAUCAUUUGAGGUAGAUUGUGUACAUUAAACAUGUACACUAAAAAUCCUGAAGAACCACUAAAAUGACAAAAUAAAGAUUUUUAGCAAAACAGCCAACCAAGAAGAUAAAAUGAUAAUCAAACUUGAUAAUUUAAAAGAUGGCAUGUUGAUGUAUGGCAAAACCAAUACAAUAUUGUAAAGUAAUUAACCUCCAAUUAAAAUAAAUAAAUUUAUAUUAAAAAUAAAAUAACAAAAUAAUCUUUAUUUAAAAAAACACAAUAAAAGAUUGCAGAGAAAAAGGGAAGGUGGGAACAAUAGCUGAGACAAAUAGAAAGCAAGUAGCAAUAUGUUAGACUCAAUAUUUGACAAUAUCAAUAACCCAAUUAAAAGUAGAUUUAAAUUAAACUGGAUUUCCACCAUAAUCUGACUAAAGCCACAUGAUACCCAUAUGAGUGCAAUAAACCUGCAAAACUGGGAGAAAUAAUAAAUCAUUGCUUUAAACCAAUGUAUUCUCAGGAGAUUUCUUAUUCUGCAAUGAGUAACUGGAACAUCAAAACCAGAGUCUGGUCACUGCAUCCAUGUGUAUAACUGUACUUGUUCUAACAAUAAAUUCUGUCUUCCUCAGUCUAAAACGCUGACAACUCAUUUCCAAACAGAAAGACCUAGGUUUCUGACCACAAAAACUGGGGAAAAAAAAGCUUGUAAUUGUUUGGAUACAAGAAAAAGAUUCUUUAAGG